Long non-coding RNA from Oncorhynchus keta (chum salmon), 640 nucleotides. RefSeq lists it as uncharacterized. Lineage: Eukaryota; Metazoa; Chordata; Actinopteri; Salmoniformes; Salmonidae. The record is from RefSeq and is a predicted model, not a curated record. The transcript is spliced from 3 exons.
CCUGGCUGUUAUAGUCAGAUAGGUAGUCAUGAAAGUGUCCUGGCUGUUAUAGUCAGAUAUGUAGUCAUGAAAGUGUCCUGGCUGUUAUAGUCAGAUAGGUAGUCAUGAAAGUGUCCUGGCUGUUAUAGUCAGAUAUGUAGUCAUGAAAGUGUCCUGGCUGUUAUAGUCAGAUAGGUAGUCAUGAAAGUGUCCUGGCUGUUAUAGUCAGAUAGGUAGUCAUGAAAGUGUCCUGGCUGUUAUAGUCAGAUAGGUAGUCAUGAAAGUGUCCUGGCUGUUGUAGUCAUGAAAGUGUCCUGGCUGUUAUAGUCAGAUAGGUAGUCAUGAAAGUGUCCUGGCUGUUAUAGUCAGAUAGGUAGUCAUGAAAGUGUCCUGGCUGUUAUAGUCAGAUAUGUAGUCAUGAAAGUGUCCUGGCUGUUAUAGUCAGAUAGGUAGUCAUGAAAGUGUCCUGGCUGUUAUAGUCAGAUAGGUAGUCAUGAAAGUGUCCUGGCUGUUAUAGUCAGAUAGGUAGUCAUGAAAGUGUCGUGGCUGUUAUAGUCAGAUAGGUAGUCAUGAAAGUGUCCUGGCUGUUAUAGUCAGAUAGGUAGUCAUGAAAGUGUCCUGGCUGUUAUAAUCAGAUAGGUAGUCAUGAAAGUGUCCUGGC